CACACAGCCUCAGCGCGCAACCUACAGAGCCCAGGGGGCAGGUGCCCCCGGGCCAGCCCCGCCCCCGUCUCCGUGCCCUGCGCCUGCGCAUGAGCUCCAGGUGGAUGGCGUCGCCGGCUGCCGGAAGCGAAGCGAGGAACAGAUGUUGUGUGAGCCCUGAGGUCUCCAGUCUUCCUGUUUCCCAUCUCGCCGGGCUCCUAUCUCAGCUGGUCUGUUUUCAGCUUCGAGAAGAUUCCUCGUCACUGCCCAGACGCAAGUUGUCCAUUAGGGUUGGAGCUUGGAUGGUGUGUGUGUAGUACUUGAAAUCCAGAGAGAGAGACAGAGAGACAGAGACAGAGAGAGACAGAGAAGGGGGCACGGCCUCCGUACUUAGGAGUCUUCAUCUUCAUUUUACCUGGAGGAUCGGAGAAUCAUGCCUUUAUUUUCAUCGUGAACCCUUUUGAAAUUCUGAGAACAGUUGAAGAUUGAACUGAGAAAGAACUAUUGCACCAGUAUUGCCAACCCUCCUUUUUGCUGAUGAGGUCAUUGAAAGACAUGCUCGAAAAUAUUUGUCAAAUGAUCAAACAGAUGCAUGAGUGAAUUAAAGAAAACCAACAGUUAAACUCGAGAAGACAUCAUCCUUCCUGGACCCUCAGUCUGCCACCCCAAGAAACGGUGAGGUAACUGGGCCGAGAUGAUUGCCAAACACCUGCAAGACGCAGGCCUGGUGCCGUGAGCACGGAGGAGCCCGGGGUCCCCAGUACCUUGUACCAACGGGGGGGACAGACCUGUGGCCUAAUGCCCACCCCACUGCCUGUCCUGCAACCAGUUCUCACCAAAAUCCUGUGCUAUUUGCAAGACUUCCUGAAGCAUAAAGGCUUUGAGAUCAAGUCCAGAAGAUUCUUCCCUUGGAUGCUUCCGCAGUGUGUGUUUUUGUGUGAUGGGUUCUGUGUGACCCAGUGACAUGCAUCAUACUUGAAAUACUUCCACUGCUGACAAAAUAAAUCAGCUCUCCCCGCCGUAGCGCUCAGCUUAUUAGGGGAAAAUGGAAAAGGGACAUUAAAUAUUAAUACUGCAUAUUUUCCUCUCCCUUGGCACCUUCUAUGUGGCUGAUCACUGCCCAGCCAGAGCAGCCUUCUGUCUUUCUUCUCCCGAUGAUGAUAGGGGACAGAAGGGACCUUUGACAAGGCAGUGAGGGACACGAGCGUAAAAUGGGGCUCCAGCUGACUUUCUGGCUUCCUGCUUGGAAGCACCCAUGUCUCUAUCGGAUGCCAAGGACCACAGCACCAUGAAACUUCGUCUGCAGUGGAAACCCUGCCCCUCUGCUAGUUUGGCUUGGAAGCAUUCACAGUAAGGAGAGAGCGCAGUUUCUUGAAGGAAAGGUGGUUUCAGAGGAGGCGGCUUGGGAGAAAUGAAGCUUGGAGAAGCAGUUGAUAAGUCCUGAGCUAACUGACAGAAGAGAUCACUGGCUUUGCCUCUGUGUUUGUUCAUUUUCAGCAAACAUUCAAUGAAGGAGCCCUCAUCCCUUAGCCCAGGCCACUGAGGAAGUGUGUAUAGGCACCUUUUAGGCCUCAGAAAGAAACUCUUCCAGAAAUGCUGGUGUUUC
Long non-coding RNA from Balaenoptera ricei (Rice's whale), 1585 nucleotides. RefSeq lists it as uncharacterized. Lineage: Eukaryota; Metazoa; Chordata; Mammalia; Artiodactyla; Balaenopteridae. The transcript has 5 exons. The record is from RefSeq and is a predicted model, not a curated record.